UUUCUCUGCGGCCGGCGGCCUUGCGGGCCCUGGCAACGGGACAACUUCCCGAGGCCGACCUGUCUGCUGCUCACGCUGUGACGGGUUUCCGACUCACCUCUCUCCGCGGAGGCCCCCGCAGCCCGGCGGGCUCGGGCCUCAGGUAACGCCCGU
Molecule: non-coding RNA, 153 nt
Organism: Heterocephalus glaber (naked mole-rat)
Lineage: Eukaryota; Metazoa; Chordata; Mammalia; Rodentia; Bathyergidae
Source: Rfam